AGCAAACAGGAUUAGAUACCCUGGUAGUCCCACGCCGUAAACGAUGUCGACUUGGAGGUUGUGCCCGUGAGGCGUGGCUUCCGGAGCUAACGCGUUAAGUCGACCGCCUGGGGAGUACGGCCGCAAGGUUAAAACUCAAAUGAAUUGACGGGGGCCCGCACAAGCGGUGGAGCAUGUGGUUUAAUUCGAUGCAACGCGAAGAACCUUACCUGGCCUUGACAUCCAGAGAACUUAGCAGAGAUGCUUUGGUGCCUUCGGGAACUCUGAGACAGGUGCUGCAUGGCUGUCGUCAGCUCGUGUUGUGAAAUGUUGGGUUAAGUCCCGCAACGAGCGCAACCCUUAUCCUUUGUUGCCAGCGGCUCGGCCGGGAACUCAAAGGAGACUGCCGGUGAUAAACCGGAGGAAGGUGGGGAUGACGUCAAGUCAUCAUGGCCCUUACGGCCAGGGCUACACACGUGCUACAAUGGCGCAUACAAAGAGAAGCGACCUCGCGAGAGCAAGCGGACCUCAUAAAGUGCGUCGUAGUCCGGAUUGGAGUCUGCAACUCGACUCCAUGAAGUCGGAAUCGCUAGUAAUCGUAGAUCAGAAUGCUACGGUGAAUACGUUCCCGGGCCUUGUACACACCGCCCGUCACACCAUGGGAGUGGGUUGCAAAAGAAGUAGGUAGCUUAACCUUCGGGAGGGCGCUACCA
RNAcentral lists this ribosomal RNA (692 nucleotides) under Pantoea dispersa. RNAcentral's name for it is "bacterial SSU rRNA". It matches the Rfam family "Bacterial small subunit ribosomal RNA", at positions 767 to 1458 of the family's 1533-position model. The record is from RNAcentral. Lineage: Bacteria; Pseudomonadati; Pseudomonadota; Gammaproteobacteria; Enterobacterales; Erwiniaceae.